This 430-nucleotide ribosomal RNA is filed under the name uncultured soil bacterium. Its description in RNAcentral is "bacterial SSU rRNA". It matches the Rfam family "Bacterial small subunit ribosomal RNA", at positions 26 to 455 of the family's 1533-position model. The record is from RNAcentral.
AGGAUGAACGCUAGCGGCAGGCCUAAUACAUGCAAGCUGAACGGUAAAUAGUGUAGCAAUACAUUAUGAGAGUAGCGUAAGGGUGCGUAACACGUAUGCAAUCUGCCCUGUACAGGAGGAUAGCUCGGCGAAAGCCGGAUUAAUACUUCGUAAUAUUAUGGAGGGGCAUCUCUUUAUAAUUAAAGUCGCAAGAUGGUACAGGAUGAGCAUGCGUCUGAUUAGCUAGUUGGUAGUGUAACGGACUACCAAGGCGAUGAUCAGGUAGGGGAACUGAGGAGGUUGACUACCCCCACACGUGCACUGAGAUACGGGCCAGACCUCUACGGGAGCAGCAGGUAGGAAUAUUGGUACAAGUGGGUAGAGGAGCCGUAGAACCACGCCAGUCGCCGCGUGCGAAGGAAGGAACGCCGUUUCGUGGGUUAGUAAACGU